AUUUUCUUCCAUUCAUUUUCUGUUCUCUCACCUUCCAGAGAAUUCUAAAAGCUCUGCCUUCUCUCUACUUUCUCUCUCUAGAUUUUCUAUGAUUUCUCGGUCUAAUAUGAAUGUUUACAUGGUAUCAGAGCCUCGAAGAUGAUCCGACUAUGUUUCUAUGUACUUCUUUGUCUUGGAUGAAGUCUGUUUCGAGGUUUUGGGGGUGUUUUUUGAGACCUCACGGUCGAUGAAGAUUCCUACCUAUCAGACACCUUUCUGAGUCUUUCAUCGUGAUAUCGGAGUAUAUUUUCUUCUCCUGAACAUUCUGGAAGGUUUUGUGAUGAUUUUUGGUUGAUUUUUGGGUGAUCUAUCGGCUUCUAGGGUUUCUGGUGGUUUAACCUAAAGUUUUACUGCCAUCCGGUGGCUCGAUUCUCACUCAGUGGACGUUUUGGGUUCCUCUCCGACGUUCCUGAUCACAUUUCCAGUAAGGUUUUCCAAGGUUACACCUAGGGUUUGAUACCUAGGGUUUCUCUGUUGUUUGAAGGCCGAUCUUCUCCGGUCGCGAAGAAGGAGGG
Molecule: long non-coding RNA, 554 nt
Filed under: Nicotiana benthamiana
Lineage: Eukaryota; Viridiplantae; Streptophyta; Magnoliopsida; Solanales; Solanaceae
Description: long non-coding RNA (NBEN_LNC034294)
Source: RNAcentral